RNAcentral lists this ribosomal RNA (269 nucleotides) under uncultured prokaryote. Its description in RNAcentral is "partial 16S ribosomal RNA". It matches the Rfam family "Bacterial small subunit ribosomal RNA", at positions 524 to 792 of the family's 1533-position model. The record is from RNAcentral.
UACGGAGGAUCCUAGCGUUAUCCGGAUUUAUUGGGUUUAAAGGGUGCGCAGGCGGGAGAUUAAGUCAGCGGUGAAAUUUUGCAGCUCAACUGUAAAAGUGCCUUCGAAACUGGUUUCCUUGAGUGUAGAUGAAGUAGGCGGAAUUUGUGGUGUAGCGGUGAAAUGCAUAGAUAUCACGAGGAACUCCGAUUGCGCAGGCAGCUUACUAAACUACUACUGACGCUCAGGCACGAAGGCGUGGGGAUCAAACAGGAUUAGAUACCCCGGUA